Molecule: ribosomal RNA, 516 nt
Filed under: Platyaspistes argentinensis
Lineage: Eukaryota; Metazoa; Arthropoda; Insecta; Coleoptera; Curculionidae
Description: partial 16S ribosomal RNA
Rfam family: Bacterial large subunit ribosomal RNA
Source: RNAcentral
UCCUUUUGAAAUUAAUUUAAGGUCUGGCCUGCCCAAUGAGUAAUUCUUGAAUGGCCGCGGUACUUUGACCGUGCAAAGGUAGCAUAAUCAUUAGUUUUUUAAUUGAAAGCUUGUAUGAAAGGUUGAAUGAGAAAAUUACUGUCUCUAUUUAAAUUUAUUAAAAUUUUAUUUUUAAGUUAAAAAGCUUAAAUUUUAAUUGAAGACGAGAAGACCCUAUAGAGUUUUAUUAAUAAAUUAUAAAGAAUUUUUGGUAUUAAUAUAUUUUUUAUUAUUUAUUAAUUUGGUUGGGGUGAUUGAAAAAUUUAAGUAACUUUUUUUGUAUAAAUACAUUAAUUUAUGAAUAAAUGAUCCUUUUUUAAAGAUUAUAAGAUUAAAUUACCUUAGGGAUAACAGCGUAAUUUUUCUAAAGAGUUCAAAUCGAAAGAAAAGUUUGCGACCUCGAUGUUGGAUUAAAAUUAAAUUUUGGUGUAGAAGCUAAAAAUUUGGGUCUGUUCGACCUUUAAAAUUUUACUUGAU